AUGUUGCAGGUAUGAUUUUGGAUGGAUCCUUGUGCUGUCGGCACUGUUUACUUUCAGUGAUGCAUCUAGUCAAACUGUCAACCAGGAGCUUUCAAAUAUUUUCAAUGAGCUCUGGAAGCUGGAUGUGAAUCGCCUGAUGCCUGGGACUCAUUACAAUAUCUCACUACAGGGCAAAGCUGGUUACAUACCACAGGGAAGCACCAGUGCGGUAGACCACGCCUCAUCCCCACUGUUUACCAGCGUCGAUGAGGCCAAACUGAACUCCAUGACCACGUAUGCACGUAUGUUUCUUUUGUAAAAACCUCUAACCCCUU
Sinocyclocheilus grahami is the source of this 314-nucleotide long non-coding RNA. RefSeq lists it as uncharacterized. The transcript has 3 exons. The record is from RefSeq and is a predicted model, not a curated record. Lineage: Eukaryota; Metazoa; Chordata; Actinopteri; Cypriniformes; Cyprinidae.